GGGUACCUUUCAUUUUGCUCUUCUAGCGGCAGGAAUCAGCAUUUCCCUUGUGUUCCUCUGUAUUCUUGUCAUUAUUGGUGUUUGGUAUGCAUGGGGAAAAAAAAAGGGAAGUUCAGCUGAAACUACUUCUGUCCCCUCUGGUGAACCUGGAGUGUACUUAAGAAAAAUUUCAACACAUAAGAACUAAUGCAAGUGGCCUUUUGAAAGAGCGUUGCAAUGGCAGCAGGAGAGUUGUUGCAUGAUCCUUUGGUCUCUGCACCUGUAUGGUAGAACCACGCAUACUAUGGGACUUCAAAUUAAUAAUUUUCCCUUUUUCAGUGAGCAUUUCACAUCACUCCAUAAUAAUUUGGAAUGUCAGUUGACAAGAAAAUCCUGUUACUAAAAGAAUCUCAAUCAAUGCUAUUAAGUAAAGCGUUAAAACCCAGGGAAACGUUAGAACCAAGUAGGUUCUUAAAUGCCACCUGAUGUGUUAUGCAUUGACUGUAGCAUAACAAGCAUAACAAAGGUCAAACUGCUGCAGAUCCUCAAGCCUUAUAACCUUUUUCCUCAUCAAUACCGUAACUAAAUCCAGUUCUGAGAACUAUGUGAUACUAGGGACUCUAGGAAGCUUAAUCGCUGGUACUUUUGGACUUUGCUGUGUGUUUAUUGUAUAUUGCAAUAAGGUGUAUUUCUAUCCUACUCUCAUUUCAGUAAUGUUUAUCUUUUCUCACAUCUUUUUCAGAAGAAAAGAUGGAAGGAAGGUCCUCUCAAUUGUAGCGAUUUAAACAGCACUCUCAAAAGAGCUGUAUUUUCAGAAAAGUUAAAUUCUUGAAAUUAAAGAGGUCCUAGUAACAGAAAAUGGCACAUUUAGGCUAUAUCUGUUCUAAUAAAUUAAACCUACACAGGGACAUUGCUACUUUUGAGACUAGCUGGAAUAGCCCCUGUUUAUGCUUGUAUACAUGUGAACUACCUAUUGUAAAUGGCUCCUGGAAGGCUCUAGCUUCCAAAACUUGGCUCAGACCAAAACGAGUUUACUACCAUUAACAGUACUAUUCCAGAGCCUGGGACUUUACCUAGGUACUGUUUAAUUUAGUCAAGAUAUACAGUGUUAUUGUUCAAUGCUCUUUUUAAAUGACAUAUUUGAUGUAUCUACAUACUUAUUUAUUCCAGUUAUUAGCAGUGAUUAAUCACAGCUGGGUACUGCAAGCUUUCAUAUACUGACUGUGCUCUGUUUUUCUGCUGCAUUGUAGUUGUCUAGAAAGCUGCUUCCUUGAAUAUAAGGCUUGUUGCUAAAAGCUUAUUAUGGCGCCUUAGAGAGGUGUAGAUUUAGAGUUGAACUGUAUUGCACUCUCUUGCUAGGUAGACACUCUCAUAAAAUAGAGUAGCAGAAUAGUCUCACACCCUGACCUUAGGCUGAAGCUUUCACAUCCUCAUUGAGUGAAUGCAGAAAUCACUAGUGCGAUGCAAAUACGUAUCCUGGCCUAUGGCUCUGCAAGGCUGUGUAAAUUAGUCUAUGUAAAACUCCAUGCAGUGACAAGGCUACAGUACCCAGAGAAAUUCUAUAGCCUGAACGUAGACAUGCAGUUCGGUUUUCAGCACGUCAUCUAUUUUGUAAGAGAGGAAAUUAGCACAUAUUGGGAAAAGCUGUUUUUAUAGAAUGUAAAAAACAAGUUAAUGCAUUGAUAAAAUUAUGUCCGUUAAAAUCAGCAACAGUGUGACUAAAAGAUUAAUUCCUCAGUGAGUAUAAACUGACAGACUUUCCUUCCAGUUCUAGCCCAUGAUUAUAAUCAAGAGUCAGCUAAGGCUGAAAACCUGAAUUUUAUUGGAUGACACCCUCAUCAUUCCACUACUUCUUCCCCUAAUUGUGUAGCACUUACUAACUGGUGUCAGGUGUUUUCAGCAGCAAGUGGGUGCUGUGGAGCUCUGUUUGAGCAGGAGCCAGGGUACGUGGGACAGAAAAGGCCAGAAGACGCCCAAUGGGCUGCCCUCCAGUGACAUGGUAGAGGAAGGAGGGCUGGAAAAGUAAGGGGCUUGCCUGAGAUGGCUCUACCAAAAUGCUCUUGUGUGAGCUCUGGCAAGUGAUCUUUAUUUCUGAGACUGAGCUCCUCGUCUAAAGGACAGAACCAAGCAGUUUGUCCCUAACUCAUGCUUAUCUGUGAAGAUAAAUACAUUUAAGAGCAUGAGACGUGUUAAGUCCCACAGUAAUGGGGAUUUCAGCUAUCCUGAAAGUUGUAAUUUUGCAGGAAAUCACAGAUUCUGUUUGUAAAUCUUAAGCCAGUGUAAUUUUUCUCAAUAACAGUAGAGAAGAAUGCUAUGUCAGCUUUCAAUUUCAGGUACCAAUUGACAUUCUCUAUGAAUAAAAGCAGUUUGUUGGCAGGGUCUGCAUUUACUUCAUGAAAGCCAAAGAGAUCUUUUCACUUUUCAGUGAAACAAAAUGCAAAGGAAUAUUUGAAAGUUCACCGCUCUUUCCAUCUGCUCAAUAGAUAGCUUUUCCUGUGUGUUUAUUCUGCGAUUAAGAAUGAAGUAAUUAUAUGGAUUAUAUCUGCAGCAGUAUUAUUUGGGAUGGGACAGUUGUGCUAUGGCUGCUUCCUGUGUGUUUUUAACGUGCAUCUUCUGUUUUCCUUCCAUUGAAUACAAGUUCAGUAGGUUCUUAAAUGAUUUUCUAAAUCAAGAGUGCCCUGGACAACAAACAGUGUUAGCUGAAUGCAGAGGAAGUAAGAAUAACAAAUAUUUUAUUAUUUGCCAGGAAUAAUUCAUAUAAGCCUCUAUGUAAAUGAUUCUGCUUUUGGAAAUGUUUUCAGAGUGAUUGUAUUUUAUGUGAACUUUUAUGGAGUUUGUGUACUGGAAAUAAUAUUUACUAUUUGUUA
Molecule: long non-coding RNA, 2846 nt
Organism: Athene cunicularia (burrowing owl)
Lineage: Eukaryota; Metazoa; Chordata; Aves; Strigiformes; Strigidae
Exons: 2
Source: RefSeq, a predicted model, not a curated record